UUCGUUUCGUACUCAAUAUAUACAGCCUUUCUUACUUAGUCCGUUUGGGAAUCCAUAAAUGUUUUGCAUCUUUUGGUUUGUUUAGUCGAUAUUUAAUUCAAAAUCUCGAAGCUGGAUAUAUAAUAUAUAAAACUAUUUGUGCAUGCCUGUAAUCGUUUUCGUUUUUAAUCUUUAGACCAUCUUACAAAGAAAUGAAUCCUCCACAACGAUUCCAAGCAAAUGUUCCUGUGAUACUUGAACUAGAUAUGCAGUUUUGUUCAAUAGAAGCUGGGAUUUAACCUUAUGAGAAUCGAAAAGGUUUUUAAAUAAGCCAACGGGUAAUUCCAUGUGAUUCCUUUGUACCCCUAUUGUUCGGCGAGUUGCAGGUGUUGGCAUUUUGUUAUAUGUCGUUUUCAAGGUUGUGAGGGGAUCUCAACAUGAAGCUUUUGCAGCUCUUCAUCACAGCAUCAGUUCCUGUCUUGAAACUGCUCUUGAUUACCGGACUUGGGGCUUAUCUUGCUCGAGAUGGUAUCGAUAUUUUGGGGGAAGAUGCUAGGAAGCAUUUAAAUACUGUUGCAUUCUAUGUAUUUUGUCCAGCCCUUGUAGCCUCCAAGCUGGCCCAAACAAUAACAAGCAAGAGCAUCGUUGAGAUGUGGUUUAUGCCAAUCAAUAUCCUCAUCACAUUUAUUAUUGGUUCUAUUCUUGGAUGGAUAGUUAUCCUGGUUACAAGAGCUCCUCCACACCUGAGUGGCCUCAUAUUGGGUUGCUGCUCUGCAGGAAAUUUAGGGACCAUUCUGUUGAUUAUAAUCCCGUCUAUUUGUAAAGAAAAAGGAGGGCCGUUUGGAGCACCUGAUGUCUGUCAAACAAAUGGAAUGGGUUAUGUUUCACUUUCAAUGGCGAUUGGAAGCAUUUAUAUUUGGUCUUACGCGUAUAAUAUCGUACGGAUAUUUUCAAGGAGAAGCACCAAAGGAUCAGAAGUAAGUGAAAUCUCUAUCAGUAUGCCUUCCAAAGAAUCCUCCACAUCAGACCCAGAGAGUUGCAUAGAGCCGCUACCUUCUUCCUCCAAGGACAUGAUAGCUGAGGACAAUGAAGAUCAUCAAUGUGCAGUUCCCUGCAGUAGAUCUGUAGCGAAACCUGAGGUUGUCUCCAGCAUCAAUAUGGUUUCAGUUACAGAUAAAGUAAAGCAAAAUAUAUCAAUGCUGUUCAGAAAAACUAAUAUGAGCGCGAUACUUAAUCCUUCAACUAUUGCAGCGAUUGUUGGGUUUGUAAUUGGACUUGUCCCCGAGAUCCGAAAGUUAAUGAUUGGUGAAGGUGCUCCUCUUCGUGUUAUCCAAGACUCUGUCCUCUUGUUGGGUUUCCCAAUACUCUCUUCACAAGUACAGAGAUGGAGCCAUUCCAGCUGUCACUCUGAUAAUCGGUGGAAACCUUCUCAAAGGUUUGCAAGGCCAAGGAAUUCGAAAAUCCUUUAUCAUUGGCAUUGUAAUCGUUCGUUAUAUUGCCCUGCCUUUGACAGGGAUUUUCAUUAUUAAAGGUGCCCAAAAAAUUGGUUUGCUGCACUCGGAUCCAUUGUACCGGUUCGUUCUCUUGCUCCAGUAUGCACUUCCUCCUGCUAUGAGCAUAGGAGUCAUGACUCAACUGUUUGGAGCAGGAGAGAAUGAAUGUUCUGUGAUCAUGCUGUGGACUUAUGCCUUGGCUUCGAUUUCACUUACUCUAUGGUCAACCGCCUUCAUUUGGCUCGUGGCUUGAAGUCUCAGCUUUUAUUAAAUAUAUCCACAAUCUUAUCUAUUAUUGCAGCCAAUUGUGGAAUGUGCGACUUACAACAGAUUUUGGACUUUUUUUUUGAAGUAUUUGGAAUAAGAAAGUCGGAUCAGAUUAAAUUAAA
This is an RNA transcript of Carya illinoinensis, 1861 nucleotides long. It is a transcript of the gene named protein PIN-LIKES 3-like, with no coding region annotated. NCBI's taxonomy places the organism in Eukaryota, Viridiplantae, Streptophyta, Magnoliopsida, Fagales, Juglandaceae. The transcript has 11 exons. The record is from RefSeq and is a predicted model, not a curated record.